ACGAGCAGGUGAGGGGCGGCGCCUUCGUCGGACGGCUAGCCACGGCGGAGGAGAAGGCGGACGCCAUCGGUGCGGCUACAGACGAGGCGGAGGAGAAGGCGGACGCCGUGGGCUUGCUGCACGGCUACAGCCGAGGCGGAGGAGAAGGCGGACGUCGUGGGCGUUCAUGGAGGAUGGUACGCCGGCGCCGGCCGCCAGUCCUCGCUGGCCUCCUCCGUGGUAUCCUUCUCAACCUCCGCUGCUCCUAUCGUUAUUUGGAUGGAAAAUUGGAGGCCGGCCGUGUCCUUCUCCAACACAAAUUGAUGUAGUGCCCGACCCGGAUUUGAUUGGCUGCUAUAAGAAGCAAGGGUCCUCGGCCGGAAUCUCCAUCAGUUCGCCGGAGGAAGAAGCGCCGAGUUCGCCGGAGGAACAAGCGCCGAGUUCGCCAAAGGAACAAGAACGCCCGCCGAGUCCUGUGGUGGCUACACGAGAGAGAAGCGCCUCUCUGAAAUUCACAGUUUUGAACCAAAAGAGACACAUCUAGAAAAUGAUUGCAUGAGUGGUUCCAGUGUCAUGUACGUCAACAUGGUUGGAGAUUUGGGAUCGGAUGCUGCGCCAAGAGCGAGGGACCAAGGUGCUGAACUAACAGCAGGGGGGAGGGUGAUUCUUCAGCUAACUGCCAAGAAUCAUAUAAGGAUGCAUCUAAUGAGGGAGCUGCACAAAUUUGGAAGAACUUCCAGAACAGGCAUCCAAGCAUUUUGGUCUGCUACCAGUAAGCUGCCAGAGCAAGAUAGCUGGGACUCUGGGAUGUCGAG
Molecule: long non-coding RNA, 794 nt
Organism: Triticum aestivum (bread wheat)
Lineage: Eukaryota; Viridiplantae; Streptophyta; Magnoliopsida; Poales; Poaceae
Exons: 6
Source: RefSeq, a predicted model, not a curated record